AUUGAACGCUGGCGGCAGGCCUAACACAUGCAAGUCGAACGGUAACAGGAAACAGCUUGCUGUUUCGCUGACGAGUGGCGGACGGGUGAGUAAUGUCUGGGAAACUGCCUGAUGGAGGGGGAUAACUACUGGAAACGGUAGCUAAUACCGCAUAACGUCGCAAGACCAAAGAGGGGGACCCUCGGGCCUCUUGCCAUCGGAUUUGCCCAGAUGGGAUUAGCUUGUUGGUGGGGUAACGGCUCACCAAGGCGACGAUCCCUAGCUGGUCUGAGAGGAUGACCAGCCACACUGGAACUGAGACACGGUCCAGACUCCUACGGGAGGCAGCAGUGGGGAAUAUUGCACAAUGGGCGCAAGCCUGAUGCAGCCAUGCCGCGUGUAUGAAGAAGGCCUUCGGGUUGUAAAGUACUUUCAGCGGGGAGGAAGGGAGUAAAGUUAAUACCUUUGCUCAUUGACGUUACCCGCAGAAGAAGCACCGGCUAACUCCGUG
Molecule: ribosomal RNA, 490 nt
Filed under: uncultured bacterium
Lineage: Bacteria
Description: partial 16S ribosomal RNA
Rfam family: Bacterial small subunit ribosomal RNA
Source: RNAcentral